GGAAUUUCCCUAGUUGUACGGUGAAAUGCGUAGAUUAUUGGGAAGAACACCGGGUGCGAAGUCGACUUGCUGGUCGGUAACUGACGCUGAGGUCGAAACCCAGGGGAGCAAACGGGAUUAGAUNACCCCGGUAGUCCUGCCGGUAAACGAUGAAAUCUGGGUGUGUGAGUGGAGAUACUGACGUCACGUAGUUAACGCGAUAAGCAUUCCGCCUGGGGAGUACGGUCGCAAGAUUGAAACUCAAAGGAAUUGACGGGGGCAACGCACAAGCGGUGGAGCACGUGGUUUAAUUCGAUGCAAACCGAAGAACCUUACCUGGGUUUGACAUGUAUGUGGUAGGAACUGGAAACAGAGACGACGCUGCUUUCGGGUAGUGAGCAUACACAGUGCUGCAUGCUGUCGUCAGCUCGUGUUCGUGAGAUGUAGGGUUUAAGUCCAACAACGAGCGCAACCCUAAUCGAUUCCCCUAAGCCANG
This 476-nucleotide ribosomal RNA is filed under the name uncultured bacterium. RNAcentral describes it as "bacterial SSU rRNA". It matches the Rfam family "Bacterial small subunit ribosomal RNA", at positions 663 to 1126 of the family's 1533-position model. The record is from RNAcentral.